UGGAUCACCUCCUAACAGGGAGACAAACCAGAUGUUGAUGCUUGAUCCAAUUUGUGAUUAAGCCAAUGUCCUGUCAUCUCGAAGGUCGAUCGGUACCUCAACCUCAGGAUUCAGGAAUGGAACCGUCUUACGGGACGGAACCAGGAGCUGAAGUUUGGAGGAUUCAGUUCCUAAACUCUGUCUAGGUCACCCCACAGCGGGAAGUACUCCUGGGCCAUUAGCUCAGGUGGUUAGAGCGCACCCCUGAUAAGGGUGAGGUCCCUGGUUCAAGUCCAGGAUGGCCCAUUGACCGCCUGCUGAGCAGGCAGGACUUGGCAGCUGGGGGUUUAGCUCAGUUGGUAGAGCGCCUGCUUUGCAAGCAGGAUGUCAGCGGUUCGAGUCCGCUAACCUCCAUCCAACGUAAACACCCAGCAGUGACAAGAAGGAGUCUCUGCGGCGGUGACUAGAUGUGCUGAUUCUAUCGAGAGAUAGGAAAGGAGUUCAGCCUCCAGGCAUUCUGAGGAUCGCAUCAGCGAGCUUAGUUGCAUGGAAGCUGGAUUCAGGCUUGCCGGAGACGGUGAGUUUGAAAACAGCAAGAACCUUGACAACUGCAUAGGAUAAGUCUGGAAAGAAAGCAUCUCAUAGAUGCCUUCUUUCUGAGCCAAGGGAAGGUGACGUAAGUCACCAACUUGAAGGCGAGGGAAGAAGGAAGAUUCUUGAGUUUAGAGCCGAGAAUUGAUGCUUCCGGAAGACAUGACAAGCAUCGCGAGAUGGGAGUCAGGUCUGAGGGUUUGCAUCAAGACAAAUGGUCAAGCUACAAAGGGCUCACGGUGGAUACCUUGGCACACAGAGGCGAUGAAGG
This 841-nucleotide transfer RNA is filed under the name uncultured cyanobacterium. Its description in RNAcentral is "partial contains 16S ribosomal RNA and 16S-23S ribosomal RNA intergenic spacer". The stretch from base 321 to 393 matches the Rfam family "tRNA". Lineage: Bacteria; Bacillati; Cyanobacteriota. The record is from RNAcentral.